CCUACGGGCUGCACCAGUGGGGAAUUUUGGACAAUGGGCGCAAGCCUGAUCCAGCAAUGCCGCGUGAGUGAAGAAGGCCUUCGGGUUGUAAAGCUCUUUUGUCAGGGAAGAAACGGCUCCAGCUAAUACCUGGGGCUAAUGACGGUACCUGAAGAAUAAGCACCGGCUAACUACGUGCCAGCAGCCGCGGUAAUACGUAGGGUGCAAGCGUUAAUCGGAAUUACUGGGCGUAAAGCGUGCGCAGGCGGUUUUGUAAGCCUGUCGUGAAAGCCCCGGGCUCAACCUGGGAAUUGCGAUGGAGACUGCAAGGCUUGAAUCUGGCAGAGGGGGGUAGAAUUCCACGUGUAGCAGUGAAAUGCGUAGAGAUGUGGAGGAACACCGAUGGCGAAGGCAGCCCCCUGGGUCAAGAUUGACGUUCAUGCACGAAAGCGUGGGGAGCAAACAGGAUUAGAUACCCGUGUAGUC
This 465-nucleotide ribosomal RNA is filed under the name uncultured bacterium. RNAcentral describes it as "bacterial SSU rRNA". It matches the Rfam family "Bacterial small subunit ribosomal RNA", at positions 338 to 795 of the family's 1533-position model. The record is from RNAcentral.